This 253-nucleotide ribosomal RNA is filed under the name uncultured bacterium. Its description in RNAcentral is "partial 16S ribosomal RNA". It matches the Rfam family "Bacterial small subunit ribosomal RNA", at positions 524 to 776 of the family's 1533-position model. The record is from RNAcentral.
UACAGAGGUCUCAAGCGUUGUUCGGAUUCAUUGGGCGUAAAGGGUGCGUAGGUGGCGGGGUAAGUCAGGUGUGAAAUUUCGGAGCUUAACUCCGAAACUGCAUUUGAUACUGCCUUGCUUGAGGACUGGAGAGGAGACUGGAAUUCACGGUGUAGCAGUGAAAUGCGUAGAGAUCGUGAGGAAGACCAGUGGCGAAGGCGGGAUCCUGGGCCAGUACUGACGCUGAGGAGCGAAAGCGUGGGGAGCAAACAGG